GACGAACGCUGGCGGCGUGCUUAACACAUGCAAGUCGAACGGAAAGGCCCUGCUUUUGUGGGGUGCUCGAGUGGCGAACGGGUGAGUAACACGUGAGUAACCUGCCCUUGACUUUGGGAUAACUUCAGGAAACUGGGGCUAAUACCGGAUAGGAGCUCCUGCUGCAUGGGGGGGGUUGGAAAGUUUCGGCGGUUGGGGCUGGACUCGCGGCUUAUCAGCUUGUUGGGGGGGUAGUGGCUUACCAAGGCUUUGACGGGUAGCCGGCCUGGGAGGGUGACCGGCCACCUUGGGACUGCGAUACGGCCCAGACUCCUACGGGAGGCAGCAGUGGGGAAUAUUGCACAAUGGGCGGAAGCCUGAUGCAGCAACGCCGCGUGCGGGAUGACGGCCUUCGGGUUGUAAACCGCUUUCGCCUGUGACGAAGCGUGAGUGACGGUAAUGGGUAAAGAAGCACCGGCUAACUACGUG
Molecule: ribosomal RNA, 468 nt
Filed under: uncultured bacterium
Lineage: Bacteria
Description: partial 16S ribosomal RNA
Rfam family: Bacterial small subunit ribosomal RNA
Source: RNAcentral